AGCAGAGAGAAGCGAGGUUCCCAGUCUAAGGGACUGCGUGAGUUCGGCCGAGGGAACCGGGUCCAGGCGCUGUGAGGAGGCAAGGUUUUCAGGGGACAGGCCAACCUGGAGGACAGGAUUCCCUGGAGGCCACAGAGGAGCACCAAGGAGAAGAUCUGCCCGUGGGUCUUCAUUGCCCAGCUCCUGUACACUCCUGCCUG
This 200-nucleotide long non-coding RNA is filed under the name Macaca mulatta (Rhesus monkey). Its description in RNAcentral is "lncRNA (ENSMMUG00000055471.1)". The record is from RNAcentral. Lineage: Eukaryota; Metazoa; Chordata; Mammalia; Primates; Cercopithecidae.